AGAGUUUGAUCCUGGCUCAGGACGAACGCUUGCGGCGUGCCUAAGAAAUGCAAGUCGAACGGACAGUGGCUUCGGUUACUGUUAGUGGCGAACGGUCGCGUAACACGUAAGAAACCUGCCUUGAAGCGGGGGACAACAGUCCGAAAGGACUGCUAAUACCGCAUGUGGCCAACUGGGGGCAUCCCCGGUUGUCUAAAGAUUUAUCACUUCAAGAUGGUCUUGCGGCCUAUCAGCUAGUUGGUGAGGUAACGGCUUACCAAGGCGACGACGGGUAGCUGGUCUGAGAGGACGAUCAGCCGGAUUGGGACUGAGAUACGGCCCAGACUCCUACGGGGGGCAGCAAUUAGGAAUCUUGCACAAUGGGGGAAACCCUGAUGCAGCGACGCCGCGUGAAGGAUGAAGGUUCUCGGAUCGUAAACUUCUUUUAAGUGGGAAGAAAUUGACGGUACCACUGAAUAGUCUGAUUGCCG
RNAcentral lists this ribosomal RNA (470 nucleotides) under uncultured Sporobacterium sp. Its description in RNAcentral is "bacterial SSU rRNA". It matches the Rfam family "Bacterial small subunit ribosomal RNA", at positions 8 to 499 of the family's 1533-position model. Lineage: Bacteria; Bacillati; Bacillota; Clostridia; Lachnospirales; Lachnospiraceae. The record is from RNAcentral.